Molecule: ribosomal RNA, 2921 nt
Filed under: Staphylococcus aureus
Lineage: Bacteria; Bacillati; Bacillota; Bacilli; Caryophanales; Staphylococcaceae
Description: 23S ribosomal RNA
Rfam family: Bacterial large subunit ribosomal RNA
Source: RNAcentral
UUAAGUUAUUAAGGGCGCACGGUGGAUGCCUUGGCACUAGAAGCCGAUGAAGGACGUUACUAACGACGAUAUGCUUUGGGGAGCUGUAAGUAAGCUUUGAUCCAGAGAUUUCCGAAUGGGGAAACCCAGCAUGAGUUAUGUCAUGUUAUCGAUAUGUGAAUACAUAGCAUAUCAGAAGGCACACCCGGAGAACUGAAACAUCUUAGUACCCGGAGGAAGAGAAAGAAAAUUCGAUUCCCUUAGUAGCGGCGAGCGAAACGGGGAGAGCCCAAACCAACAAGCUUGCUUGUUGGGGUUGUAGGACACUCUAUACGGAGUUACAAAGGACGACAUUAGACGAAUCAUCUGGAAAGAUGAAUCAAAGAAGGUAAUAAUCCUGUAGUCGAAAAUGUUGUCUCUCUUGAGUGGAUCCUGAGUACGACGGAGCACGUGAAAUUCCGUCGGAAUCUGGGAGGACCAUCUCCUAAGGCUAAAUACUCUCUAGUGACCGAUAGUGAACCAGUACCGUGAGGGAAAGGUGAAAAGCACCCCGGAAGGGGAGUGAAAUAGAACCUGAAACCGUGUGCUUACAAGUAGUCAGAGCCCGUUAAUGGGUGAUGGCGUGCCUUUUGUAGAAUGAACCGGCGAGUUACGAUUUGAUGCAAGGUUAAGCAGUAAAUGUGGAGCCGUAGCGAAAGCGAGUCUGAAUAGGGCGUUUAGUAUUUGGUCGUAGACCCGAAACCAGGUGAUCUACCCUUGGUCAGGUUGAAGUUCAGGUAACACUGAAUGGAGGACCGAACCGACUUACGUUGAAAAGUGAGCGGAUGAACUGAGGGUAGCGGAGAAAUUUCAAUCGAACCUGGAGAUAGCUGGUUCUCUCCGAAAUAGCUUUAGGGCUAGCCUCAAGUGAUGAUUAUUGGAGGUAGAGCACUGUUUGGACGAGGGGCCCCUCUCGGGUUACCGAAUUCAGACAAACUCCGAAUGCCAAUUAAUUUAACUUGGGAGUCAGAACAUGGGUGAUAAGGUCCGUGUUCGAAAGGGAAACAGCCCAGACCACCAGCUAAGGUCCCAAAAUAUAUGUUAAGUGGAAAAGGAUGUGGCGUUGCCCAGACAACUAGGAUGUUGGCUUAGAAGCAGCCAUCAUUUAAAGAGUGCGUAAUAGCUCACUAGUCGAGUGACACUGCGCCGAAAAUGUACCGGGGCUAAACAUAUUACCGAAGCUGUGGAUUGUCCUUUGGACAAUGGUAGGAGAGCGUUCUAAGGGCGUUGAAGCAUGAUCGUAAGGACAUGUGGAGCGCUUAGAAGUGAGAAUGCCGGUGUGAGUAGCGAAAGACGGGUGAGAAUCCCGUCCACCGAUUGACUAAGGUUUCCAGAGGAAGGCUCGUCCGCUCUGGGUUAGUCGGGUCCUAAGCUGAGGCCGACAGGCGUAGGCGAUGGAUAACAGGUUGAUAUUCCUGUACCACCUAUAAUCGUUUUAAUCGAUGGGGGGACGCAGUAGGAUAGGCGAAGCGUGCGAUUGGAUUGCACGUCUAAGCAGUAAGGCUGAGUAUUAGGCAAAUCCGGUACUCGUUAAGGCUGAGCUGUGAUGGGGAGAAGACAUUGUGUCUUCGAGUCGUUGAUUUCACACUGCCGAGAAAAGCCUCUAGAUAGAAAAUAGGUGCCCGUACCGCAAACCGACACAGGUAGUCAAGAUGAGAAUUCUAAGGUGAGCGAGCGAACUCUCGUUAAGGAACUCGGCAAAAUGACCCCGUAACUUCGGGAGAAGGGGUGCUCUUUAGGGUUAACGCCCAGAAGAGCCGCAGUGAAUAGGCCCAAGCGACUGUUUAUCAAAAACACAGGUCUCUGCUAAACCGUAAGGUGAUGUAUAGGGGCUGACGCCUGCCCGGUGCUGGAAGGUUAAGAGGAGUGGUUAGCUUCUGCGAAGCUACGAAUCGAAGCCCCAGUAAACGGCGGCCGUAACUAUAACGGUCCUAAGGUAGCGAAAUUCCUUGUCGGGUAAGUUCCGACCCGCACGAAAGGCGUAACGAUUUGGGCACUGUCUCAACGAGAGACUCGGUGAAAUCAUAGUACCUGUGAAGAUGCAGGUUACCCGCGACAGGACGGAAAGACCCCGUGGAGCUUUACUGUAGCCUGAUAUUGAAAUUCGGCACAGCUUGUACAGGAUAGGUAGGAGCCUUUGAAACGUGAGCGCUAGCUUACGAGGAGGCGCUGGUGGGAUACUACCCUAGCUGUGUUGGCUUUCUAACCCGCACCACUUAUCGUGGUGGGAGACAGUGUCAGGCGGGCAGUUUGACUGGGGCGGUCGCCUCCUAAAAGGUAACGGAGGCGCUCAAAGGUUCCCUCAGAAUGGUUGGAAAUCAUUCAUAGAGUGUAAAGGCAUAAGGGAGCUUGACUGCGAGACCUACAAGUCGAGCAGGGUCGAAAGACGGACUUAGUGAUCCGGUGGUUCCGCAUGGAAGGGCCAUCGCUCAACGGAUAAAAGCUACCCCGGGGAUAACAGGCUUAUCUCCCCCAAGAGUUCACAUCGACGGGGAGGUUUGGCACCUCGAUGUCGGCUCAUCGCAUCCUGGGGCUGUAGUCGGUCCCAAGGGUUGGGCUGUUCGCCCAUUAAAGCGGUACGCGAGCUGGGUUCAGAACGUCGUGAGACAGUUCGGUCCCUAUCCGUCGUGGGCGUAGGAAAUUUGAGAGGAGCUGUCCUUAGUACGAGAGGACCGGGAUGGACAUACCUCUGGUGUACCAGUUGUCGUGCCAACGGCAUAGCUGGGUAGCUAUGUGUGGACGGGAUAAGUGCUGAAAGCAUCUAAGCAUGAAGCCCCCCUCAAGAUGAGAUUUCCCAACUUCGGUUAUAAGAUCCCUCAAAGAUGAUGAGGUUAAUAGGUUCGAGGUGGAAGCAUGGUGACAUGUGGAGCUGACGAAUACUAAUCGAUCGAAGACUUAAUCAA